GUGCCAGCCGCCGCGGUAAUACGUAGGUGGCAAGCGUUGUCCGGAUUUACUGGGCGUAAAGGGAGCGUAGGCGGACUUUUAAGUGGGAUGUGAAAUACUCGGGCUCAACCUGAGUGCUGCAUUCCAAACUGGAAGUCUAGAGUGCAGGAGGGGAAAGUGGAAUUCCUAGUGUAGCGGUGAAAUGCGUAGAUAUUAGGAAGAACACCGGUGGCGAAGGCGACUUUCUGGACUGUAACUGACGCUGAGGCUCGAAAGCGUGGGGAGCGAACAGGAUUAGAUACCCCCGUAGUCC
This 292-nucleotide ribosomal RNA is filed under the name uncultured bacterium. Its description in RNAcentral is "partial 16S ribosomal RNA". It matches the Rfam family "Bacterial small subunit ribosomal RNA", at positions 505 to 796 of the family's 1533-position model. The record is from RNAcentral.